Molecule: ribosomal RNA, 380 nt
Filed under: uncultured eukaryote
Lineage: Eukaryota
Description: partial 18S ribosomal RNA
Rfam family: Eukaryotic small subunit ribosomal RNA
Source: RNAcentral
CAAUAGCGUAUAUUAAAGUUGUUGCAGUUAGACCGCUCGUAGUCGGAUUUCGGGGCGGGCCGACCGGUCUGCCGAUGGGUAUGCACUGGUCGGCGCGUCCUUCCUUCCGGAGACCGUCCCUACUCUUAACUGAGCGGGGGCGGGAGACGGGACUUUUACUUUGAAAAAAUCAGAGUGUUUCAAGCGGGCAGCUCGCUCUUGCAUGGAUUAGCAUGGGAUAAUGAAAUAGGACUUUGGUGCUAUUUUGUUGGUUUCGAACACCGAAGUAAUGAUGAGAAGGGACAGUCAGGGGCACUCGUAUUCCGCCGAGAGAGGUGAAAUUCUCAGACCAGCGGAAGACGAACCACUGCGAAAGCAUUUGCCAGGGAUGUUUUCACUGA